CACGUAGGGUGCGAGCGUUGUCCGGAAUUAUUGGGCGUAAAGAGCUCGUAGGCGGUGUGUCGCGUCGGCCGUGAAAACUUGCAGCUUAACUGUGGGCGUGCGGUCGAUACGGGCAUCACUGGAGUUCGGCAGGGGAGACUGGAAUUCCUGGUGUAGCGGUGAAAUGCGCAGAUAUCAGGAAGAACACCAGUGGCGAAGGCGGCUAUCUGGACGGUUUCUGACACUAAGACUCGAAAGCGUGGGGAGCAAACAGG
This 254-nucleotide ribosomal RNA is filed under the name uncultured bacterium. Its description in RNAcentral is "partial 16S ribosomal RNA". It matches the Rfam family "Bacterial small subunit ribosomal RNA", at positions 524 to 776 of the family's 1533-position model. The record is from RNAcentral.